GCACCACAUGCUGAACAUCAUUGCCCGUUGCCCGUGAAGUGUAGAAGCACCCGAAAACUUCUAAUGUAUUGGCAAAAGUCGUUCAAAGUUCGCAGAAAAAGUUGCUAAAGUGUGUCGCCUGGUGCGCAUCGGAUUGCGGAUUGUGUGUUCGCUUUGGGAAUCGCAAAUCAAAAGGAGGUCAACCGUUGUGGAAUCGAUUCAGCGAGGAACACACCGCGUGGUACAAACAAGGUGUCGGGAUAGGCCCAGAGAAGGAGCAGCAGCCCUUCGACAACGCACAUCAACUCGCCUGCAGAGGCAGUUUCGAUUCAAAGGGCUCGUCGUCGUCGUCGUAAGCGCUAACUUCGGUCAAAGCAAACGUUGCUUAAGUCCCACGAGUACGAGUAGCACGAGUAUCUAAGGCAACAUGUCGUUCGACGAAACUUCUGCGGAUCGGAAUGUGGAGAUCUGGAAAAUCAAAAAGCUUAUCAAGAGCUUGGAAAUGGCCAGGGGCAACGGAACGAGCAUGAUCUCGUUGAUCAUACCGCCGAAGGAUCAGAUCAGCCGGGUCAGUAAGAUGCUGGCGGACGAGUUUGGCACGGCUUCGAACAUCAAAUCGCGCGUCAACCGCCUGUCCGUGCUCGGUGCCAUCACGUCUGUCCAGCACAGGCUGAAGCUCUACACCAAAGUGCCUCCGAAUGGUUUAGUGAUUUACUGCGGUACGAUCGUGACCGAAGAGGGCAAGGAAAAGAAGGUCAAUAUCGACUUCGAACCGUUCAAACCAAUCAAUACCUCUCUGUAUCUGUGCGACAACAAAUUCCACACCGAAGCGCUCACUGCACUGCUUGCCGAUGACAAUAAGUUCGGUUUCAUCGUGAUGGACGGUAACGGUGCACUCUUCGGAACGCUGCAGGGCAAUACUCGAGAAGUGCUGCACAAAUUCACCGUCGAUCUGCCGAAGAAGCACGGUCGCGGUGGUCAGUCUGCGCUGCGUUUUGCCCGGUUGCGAAUGGAAAAGCGACACAACUACGUGCGAAAGGUGGCGGAGGUGGCCACGCAGCUGUUCAUCACCAACGACAAGCCCAACAUUGCCGGCCUGAUUCUGGCUGGUAGUGCCGAUUUUAAAACCGAGCUGAGUCAGUCCGACAUGUUCGAUCCGAGAUUGCAAUCAAAAGUGAUCAAGCUGGUGGAUGUGUCAUACGGUGGGGAGAAUGGUUUCAACCAAGCCAUCGAACUUGCCGCGGAAUCGCUACAGAACGUGAAGUUUAUUCAGGAGAAGAAACUGAUCGGGCGCUACUUUGACGAAAUUUCGCAGGAUACCGGAAAGUACUGCUUCGGUGUCGAAGACACGUUAAAGGCGCUAGAGCUGGGGUCGGUAGAGACGCUGAUUUGCUGGGAAAAUCUCGAUAUACAGCGUUACGUGCUGAAGAACCAUGCGAGUGCAACUUCGACCACAGUAUUACACUUAACGCCCGAGCAGGAAAAGGACAAGUCUCACUUCACGGACAAAGAGAGUGGUGUCGAAAUGGAAUUGGUCGAGUCGCAGCCGCUGCUGGAGUGGCUCGCGAACAACUACAAGUGCUUCGGUGCAACAUUGGAAAUCAUUACCGACAAAUCACAGGAAGGCAGCCAGUUCGUGCGCGGAUUCGGUGGCAUAGGAGGAAUUCUACGUUACAAAGUCGAUUUUCAAUCCUUGCAAGCGGACGAACCGCUCGACGAUGUCGAUCUGGAUGAUUACUAAAUAGUUCUUUAAUUUAGCUUCCAACACUACCAUAACGUCGCGCACCAAGUCUGUGUGUUGGGCGCGCGUUGUCGAGCCGCCCAGCCACCUUGGAGCGCAUCCCUUUGCGGGUGUGUUUUUCCCUUGCGUUUCGCCCCCUAUACCCCCCUCCGAUUUGUUUUGACGACGGUCAGUUAGAGCACCAUUUUCGUCCUUCUUCUCGCUUAACGACUGGGACUGGGCCGACACCCCGGGGGCCGGCGUAAUCUGCGUGUAGUGCAUGGUUUUCUUGUGUUGUGUGUUGUGUGCGUGUGCAACACGCCGUAAGCGGUGGGCGGCGGGCUAGUGAUGCUGGGAUUUGAGAGCAGAACAAGGCAAACAGAAAAGAAGAAGAAAAAAAGAAAAAAACAUCAGCAAACAACAAAGCAUAUAUUUAACUAUCCUCCAAAGCCCCUACUUCGCGGUUUUUCUUCAAUUGAACUGUGUAAUAUCGAUGCUAAUUUGUAGCGCACUUUCCGAAUAAGAGGUGUCCUUCGCUACAAGGUAGAUUUUCAAAGCAUGCAACUGGAUGAACUGGAUAACGAUUGUUUCGACCUCGACGAGUACUAAUUACGAAGCACCCGAGAUGCGUUUUGUUUAUUUUGCCUCCAUCGGUAAUACGGAAACGAGAUACUAACUGAAGGAAACAACAGAAUUGUGAACGUGUGGGGAGCUUUAGUGGAUGGGCACAGGGCUGUGGAAGGUUGACGUACUGUGGUAGCGAAAAAUUCCCAUUACCCUCCUCCUCGGUUGUUCCCUUCGGGCAAGGGGAGCAUUUUGCUGCGUAAAACAAGUAACCAAACCCCCCCUCGGCCAAUUAAGAAGUAAUUCACUCCAAAAGCGAAAACAUCCCUCCCGCAGCACGAUUUUAAAGUAAGGGAAAAUUAUACAAAGAAAUGAGAACACUUGCAAAGUAACCCCUAAUUAACUACGAUUGAGGGAAACUCAUACGAAACAAACAGAAAAGAAGAGAAAAAUCACAAAACAAACACUUCACUAUCCAGCAGGACAACGGAAGAAAAGCGACGAAAACAAUAAUAAAAAAAGAAAUUAUAUAAAAGAAACACACAGAUAUGGGUGACUUGUUUCAGUUUAAAAAUGAUGAUUUCGCCUCAAAACAAGGAAACCUUUUUGAGUACGCUUGUUUCUGGUGAGUUGUAGCAUCGUAGCAGUCGAAUGUUGUUCCGAAUUUUAAUUGUUUUGUUACUGUUUAGUUAUUUAGUAAGAGCUUUUCCGUGAUAGUCAUGAUAAACGUUUGACGGUUAAAUAUAGCCAACUUAGAUCGAAAUCAAAUCCAAAACCAACUUUUAUUUUGAAUCAUGUUUAUUUGAUAAAACUUAAAUAAUCGUUACACUUAAAUUGUUUGCCAACGCGUACCUUUGGAAACAAAGUCUAAACUAAAUUUGCUUCUCAUAUUCAGAAUAGUUCGCG
Molecule: RNA transcript, 3169 nt
Organism: Anopheles cruzii
Lineage: Eukaryota; Metazoa; Arthropoda; Insecta; Diptera; Culicidae
Gene: eRF1
Gene name: eukaryotic peptide chain release factor subunit 1
Exons: 9
Source: RefSeq, a predicted model, not a curated record